RNAcentral lists this transfer RNA (57 nucleotides) under Bos taurus (domestic cattle). It matches the Rfam family "tRNA", at positions 8 to 63 of the family's 71-position model. Rfam says of the family: Transfer RNA (tRNA) molecules are approximately 80 nucleotides in length. Their secondary structure includes four short double-helical elements and three loops (D, anti-codon, and T loops). Further hydrogen bonds mediate the characteristic L-shaped molecular structure. tRNAs have two regions of fundamental functional importance: the anti-codon, which is responsible for specific mRNA codon recognition, and the 3' end, to which the tRNAs corresponding amino acid is attached (by aminoacyl-tRNA synthetases). tRNAs cope with the degeneracy of the genetic code in two manners: having more than one tRNA (with a specific anti-codon) for a particular amino acid; and 'wobble' base-pairing, i.e. permitting non-standard base-pairing at the 3rd anti-codon position. Lineage: Eukaryota; Metazoa; Chordata; Mammalia; Artiodactyla; Bovidae. The record is from Rfam by way of RNAcentral.
UGGCUCAGACGUUAAAGCGUUUGCCUCCAAUGCAGGAGACCCAGGUUCAAUCCCUGG